Mus caroli (Ryukyu mouse) is the source of this 1409-nucleotide non-coding RNA. The record is from RefSeq and is a predicted model, not a curated record. Lineage: Eukaryota; Metazoa; Chordata; Mammalia; Rodentia; Muridae.
AUGCCCAAAUUCAAGGUGACACGUGGGGCCAGAAAUCAGGAGAAGUAUGCACCGCUGGCCGAGCAGAUCCUGAAAGUAGCCUAGGGCGUGAGGUCGAAGAGGAGGAAGAGUAUGUGGGACCCCAGCUAAGCAGACGGAUUUUGCAGCAAGCCCUACAACAGCAGGAGGAGCUCGAAACUGACCAUGGGGCUGGAGAUCGGUCAGCACCACCGUGAGAGCGCACCACGCAGCUGGGGCCGGAAUUGCCACAGAAUGGAUCGGAUGAGGAGGAUGAGGAAUGGCCUACCCUGGAGAAGGCAGCCAAAAUGACAGGGGUGGACCACCAGGCAGAGGUGAUCGUGGAGUGCCAUUAAAAUGUUCAUGAACAAGAACCCUCCCGUGAGGCGCACCCUGGCUGAUAUCAUCAUGGAGAAGUUGACUGAGAAGCAGACAGAGGUGGAGACUGUCAUGUCAGAGGUAUCAGGCUUCCCUAUGCCUCAGCUGGAUCCCCGGGUCUUGGAAGUCUACUGAGGAGUUCGGGAGGUGUUAUGUAAGUACCGCAGUGGGAAACUGCCCAAGGCUUUUAAGAUCAUCCCCUCACUGUUCAACCGGGAGCAGAUCCUCUAUGUCACUGAGCCUGAGGCCUGGACUGCAGCCGCCAUGUAUCAAGCCACCAGGAUUUUUGCCUUUAACUUGAAGGAGUGCAUGGCUCAGUGCUUCUACAACCUUGUCCUGCUUCCCCGAGUGCGAGAUGACAUUGCUGAAUACAAACGACUCAACUUUCACCUCUACAAGGCGCUCCAGAAGGCCCUGUUCAAGCCUGGAGCCUGGUUCAAAGGAAUCCUGAUCCCAUCGUGUGAGUCCGGCACCUGUACCCUCCGAGAAGCCAUCAUCGUAGGCAGCAUCAUCACCAAGUGCUCCAUCCCCGUGCUGCACUCCAGUGCAGCCAUGCUGAAGAUCACGGAAAUGGAAUACAGCGGUGCCAACAGCAUCUUCCUGUGCCUGCUGCUGGAUAAGAAGUACGCAUUGCCUUACUGUGUGCUCGACCCUCUGGUCUUCCACUUUCUGGCGUUCUGGACGGAAAAGCGCCAGCUACCUGUCCUCUGGCACCAGUGCCUGCUGACACUAGCUCAGCGCUACAAGGCUGACCUGGCCACAGAGCAGAAGGAGGCCCUCCUGGAACUGCUUCGGCUACAGCCCCACCCGCAGCUGUCCCCUGAAAUCAGACGUGAGCUUCAGAGUGCAGUCCCCAGAGACGUGGAGGAUGGUGUUGUCACCAUGGAAUGAGAGCAGUCACCUGUGUUGGCCCAGGGGGCGCAGGACCACCCCAGGACCCCAGCUGGUGUAGUUAAAGACCUAGGUCAAGACACUGAAGGGUUACUAUGGCUGCCGUGGCCUAAUCCUGGGCAAGGAGGACUGCAUCUGGUUGG